CCUACGGGAGGCAGCAGUGAGGAAUAUUGGUCAAUGGGCGCGAGCCUGAACCAGCCAAGUAGCGUGAAGGAUGACUGCCCUACGGGUUGUAAACUUCUUUUAUAAAGGAAUAAUGAGAGGCACGUGUGGCUUUUUGUAAGUACUAUACGAAUAAGGAUCGGCUAACUCCGUGCCAGCAGCCGGGGUAAUACGGAGGAUCCGAGCGUUAUCCGGAUUUAUUGGGUUUAAAGGGUGCGUAGGUGGCCUUUUAAGGUAGUUGGGAAAGUUUGCGGCUUAACCGUAAAAUAGCAAUUGAUACUGGCAGUCUAGAGUACAGUUGAGGUAGGCGGAAUUAGUGAAGUAGCGGUGAAAUGCUUAGAUAUCACUAAGAACUCCGAUAGCGAAGGCAGCUUACUAAACUGCCACUGACAUUGAUGCUCGAAAGUGUGGGUAGCAAACAGGAUUAGAUACCCCAGUAGUC
RNAcentral lists this ribosomal RNA (460 nucleotides) under uncultured bacterium. RNAcentral's name for it is "partial 16S ribosomal RNA". It matches the Rfam family "Bacterial small subunit ribosomal RNA", at positions 338 to 795 of the family's 1533-position model. The record is from RNAcentral.